This 451-nucleotide ribosomal RNA is filed under the name uncultured bacterium. RNAcentral describes it as "partial 16S ribosomal RNA". It matches the Rfam family "Bacterial small subunit ribosomal RNA", at positions 29 to 523 of the family's 1533-position model. The record is from RNAcentral.
AACGAACGCUGGCGGCAGGCUUAACACAAGCAUGUCGAACGGGUGUAGCAAUACAUCAGUGGCAGACGGGUGAGUAACACGUGGGAACCUUCCUAGGGGUACGGAACAACUCAGGGAAACUUGAGCUAAUACCGUAUACGUCCGUGAGGAGAAAGAUUUAUCGCCCUUAGACGGGCCCGCGUCGGAUUAGCUAGUUGGUGGGGUAACGGCCUACCAAGGCGACGAUCCGUAGCUGAUCUUAGAGGAUGAUCAGCCACACUGGGACUGAGACACGGCCCAGACUCCUACGGGAGGCAGCAGUGGGGAAUCUUGGACAAUGGGCGCAAGCCUGAUCCAGCCAUGCCGCGUGAGUGAAGAAGGUCUUCGGAUUGUAAAGCUCUUUUGCCAGGGACGAUAAUGACGGUACCUGGAGAAUAAGCCCCGGCAAACUUCGUGCCAGCCGCCGCAGUAA